This 198-nucleotide small RNA is filed under the name Pan troglodytes (chimpanzee). RNAcentral's name for it is "processed transcript". The record is from RNAcentral. Lineage: Eukaryota; Metazoa; Chordata; Mammalia; Primates; Hominidae.
CGGACCCAGACAGGAGGAACCAUAAUGGCGGGGAAGCUGGCUGUGGAGCGAGGCUGGGCCAUCAACGUGGUUUCUGUUUGAGCGUGUGGAGGGCAUCUCCAGGGCUACCAUCAUUGAUCUUGAUGCCCAUCAGGGCAAUGGGCAUGAGCGAGACUUCAUGGACGACAAGCGUGUGUACAUCAUGGAUGUCUACAACCG